AAUCCCCUCAUGUCAUGGGAGGGACCCAGUGGGGGGUAAUUUAAUCAUGGGGGCAGUUACACUCAUGCUGUUCUCAUGAUAGUGAGUAAGUUAUCACGAGCUCUGAUGGCUUUAUAAGGGGCUUUCACCCUUUUGCUUGGCACUUCUCCUCGCUGCCAGCAUGUGAAGAAGGAUGUGUUUGCUUCCCCUUCCACCAUGAUUGUAAGUUUCCUGAGGCCUCCCCAGACAUGCUGAACUCUAUCAUUUUUUUUCUUUCUCUUUCCCUCUCCUGGCCAGACUCAUUGAUGCUCUUAACAUCCCGACCUCAUAUUCCCAAUGUCUUUUAGUUGGAAAAAAGUUGACAUUGGCUAGAAUAUAGGAUUUAGUUAUAAUAUACAUAAAGUUCUAAGUUUUGGAGAAAUUCUCACAAUAAUUAUUAUCUCAGUAUAUGUUGUCCAAAAAAAAAGAGGAGGGAGGGACAACACAAUGAGGUUAUUAACAAAGCAAAGGCUAUGUUUAUGUUUGUGUACAAAACAAGGAAAUCUAGCAAACUCAGCAUACAUUUUUUUGGAGGGAUGGGAUUUGGGGCUUGCUCAUUUUUGUAGCUGUUUUCUGAGGGGAAAUGGAGCAGUGGAUUAGCGGGUCAUCGUCUGAAACUUCUGGAGAUAUAGUGUGUAGUAAAAAGUUGACUAAUGCCCAUGGAAUGCCUGCAUGCCAAGCAGUCUUUAUUUCAGAACUUUACACAUAUCACAUCCUUAGUUCUCACAAGGAGAUAGGUAUUAUCAUCAGCCCCGGUUAACAGAAAAAAAAUGGAGGCAAAAAGAGGUUAAAUAACCUGCCUGUUAUGAAUUGAGUUGUGUCCCCUCAAAAUUCUCAUGUUGAACCCCUCACCUCCAACAUAUUUGGAGAUAAAGCCUUUAAGAAGGUAAUUAAUGUUGAAUGAGGCCAUAAGGGUACACACUAAUCCAAAAGGACUAAUGUCCAUAUGAGAUGAAGAGACACCAGGUGUGCAAGAGCACAGAGAAAAGACCCCAUGAAGACACAGUGAGAAGACAGCCUUCUUCAAGCCAGGAAGAGAGGCCUCACCAGAAACCAACUCUCCUGGCCCUAGAUCUUGGACUUUCGGCUCCCAGAACUAUGAAACAAUAAAUUUCUGUUAUUUCAGCAAAACCUGGUGUGUGGUAUUUUGCUAUAGAAGCCUAGCAGGCAAAUACACUGCCCAAGGUCAAGAGCAGUGCUGGGAAUCAAAUCCAGGUACUCAGAACCUAGAGUUUAUUCUUAAACCACUUCACAAUGCUGCCUCUGUAGAAUCUGGUCACUGGACAGAGAAUAAUUAGAUCUCUAGUUCCAACUCUAGUUCAACUCUCAUCUUCCGGCUAUGGGACCCUGAGAAUUUUGUUUAAUUUCUCUAUGCCUCCAUCUGUAAAACUGGAGAAAAAAAUCUCUACUGGUAAGGACCAAAUGAGACAACUAUAUGUAAAUUGUUAAAUCGUAAUAUAAAUGGCCCUGUAUUAUAAAGGAUAAUAGUCUCAAAACGAUUUAUCUUAACAUUGAGUCAUUUCUCAGAGGCCAGCUCACAGAAUCUCAGAGAUUUGUGGUGAGAUGUCUAAUGAAAGACCAGGUUGAAAUGGGACUGAGUUGGGGAGUGGGUAGGAAAGCAGGAUUCAGAAGUGGGAAUGUGUACCUGAAAGAAACAUAAUGCUAUAUUCUCUUUCUCAACUGUGACAUUCCACUUUAGUAUCCUUGAGAUAAAAUUCUGGUAGAAACAGUGAGACUAUUUAUUAUAGAUUCAACUUAAUUCAACGUAUUAAAUUAAAUUAAAUAACUAAGUCCUGCUGUGGCCAUGUGCUAGGUGCCAG
RNAcentral lists this long non-coding RNA (1838 nucleotides) under Homo sapiens (human). RNAcentral's name for it is "HSALNT0317136". The record is from RNAcentral. Lineage: Eukaryota; Metazoa; Chordata; Mammalia; Primates; Hominidae.